GUGUCAGGAGGUGGAGCCAUGGUGUCUGGAGGAGAGACCGUGGUCGUGAAGACAAGCCGAGUGGAGAGCUCCUCAUCAUCAGGUGGCACAAUGGUUUCAGGAGGUGGAGCCAUGAUGUCAGGAGGUGGAGCCAUGAUUUCAGGAGGUGGGGCCCAAAUGAUGUCAGGAGGCGGAGCCAUGAUGUCUGGAGGCGGAGCCAUGGUGUCAGGAGGUGGAGCCAUGGUGUCUGGAGGAGAGACCGUGGUCGUAAAGACAAGCCGAGUGGAGAGCUCCUCAUCAUCAGGUGGCACAAUGGUUUCAGGAGGUGGAGCCAUGAUGUCAGGAGGUGGAGCCAUGAUUUCAGGAGGUGGCGCCCAAAUGAUGUCAGGAGGUGGAGGCAUGAUGUCAGGAGGUAUGAUGUCAUCGGAGACUGUCCAAAUAUCAUCAGGUGGCUCAUUGGUGUCAGGUGGUGGGGCAGGAAUGAUGUCAGGAGGUGAAGGCAUGAUGUCCAGUGGCGGUUCCAUGAUAUCUGGUGGCAUGAUGUCAUCAGGUGGCACCAUGAUGUCAGGAGGUGGAGCCCAAAUGAUGUCAGGAGGUGGAGCCCAAAUGAUGUCAGGAGGUGGAGGCAUGAUGUCCAGUGGCAUGUCUUUAGACGGUUCCAUGAUAUCUGGUGGCAUGGUGUCAUGUGGUGGCUCUGAAAUGAUGUCAUCAGGUGGAGCCAUGUCAGGCGGCAUGAUGUCAUCAGGUGGCUCCAUGAUGUCAGGAGGUGGAGCCAUGAUGUCAGGAGGUGGCUCUGAAAUGAUGUCAUCAGGUGGAGCCAUGAUGUCAGGAGGUGGAGGCAUGGUGUCAUGUGGUGGCUCUGAAAUGAUGUCAUCAGGUGGAGCCAUGAUUUCAGGAGGUGGGGCCCAAAUGAUGUCAGGAGGUGGAGGCCAAAUGAUGUCAUCAGGUGGAGCCAUGUCAGGCGGCAUGAUGUCAUCAGGUGGCUCCAUGAUGUCAGGAGGUGGAGCCAUGAUGUCAGGAGGUGGCUCUGAAAUGAUGUCAUCAGGUGGAGCCAUGAUGUCAGGAGGUGGGGCCCAAAUGAUGUCAGGAGGUGGAGGCCAAAUGAUGUCAUCAGGUGGAGCCAUGUCAGGCGGCAUGAUGUCAUCAGGUGGCUCCAUGAUGUCAGGAGGUGGAGCCAUGAUGUCAGGAGGUGGCUCCGAAAUGAUGUCAUCAGGUGGAGCCAUGAUUUCAGGAGGUGGAGCCAUGAUGUCAGGAGGUGGGGCCCAAAUGAUGUCAGGAGGUGGAGGCCAAAUGAUGUCAUCAGGUGGAGCCAUGGCAGGCGGCAUGAUGUCAUCAGGUGGCACCAUGAUGUCAGGGGGAGAAACGAUGUCCAUGUCUGGUGGCUCAAUGUCAUCCUCCACCAGCUUCUCCUCUUAGAAGG
This is a long non-coding RNA of Clupea harengus (Atlantic herring), 1399 nucleotides long. The record is from Ensembl. NCBI's taxonomy places the organism in Eukaryota, Metazoa, Chordata, Actinopteri, Clupeiformes, Clupeidae.